UGCACCUACGGGAGGCAGCAGUGAGGAAUAUUGGUCAAUGGGCGGAAGCCUGAACCAGCCAAGUCGCGUGAGGGAAGAAGGCCCUGCGGGUCGCAGACCUCUUUGGACGGGGAGCAAGGCCGCCGACGUGUCGGCGGAAGGAGAGUACCCGUAGAACAAGCAUCGGCUAACUCCGUGCCAGCAGCCGCGGUAAUACGUAGGGUGCGAGCGUUAAUCGGAAUUACUGGGUGUAAAGGGUGCGCAGGCGGUUGAGUAAGACAGAUGUGAAAUCCCCGAGCUUAACUCGGGAAUGGCAUAUGUGACUG
This 305-nucleotide ribosomal RNA is filed under the name uncultured bacterium. RNAcentral's name for it is "bacterial SSU rRNA". It matches the Rfam family "Bacterial small subunit ribosomal RNA", at positions 334 to 635 of the family's 1533-position model. The record is from RNAcentral.